CUGCUCAUUUUAGCAGCACAUAUACUAAAAUUAGAAUGAUACAGAGAAGAUUAGCAUGGCCCCUGUGUAAGAAUGACAUACAAAUUCAUGGAGUAUUCCAUAUUUUA
This 107-nucleotide small nuclear RNA is filed under the name Dasypus novemcinctus (nine-banded armadillo). The record is from RNAcentral. Lineage: Eukaryota; Metazoa; Chordata; Mammalia; Cingulata; Dasypodidae.